GAUCAUGGCUCAGGAUGAACGCUAGCGGCAGGCUUAACACAUGCAAGUCGAGGGGUAUUGGUUUUCGGACCAAGAGACCGGCGCACGGGUGCGUAACGCGUAUGCAAUCUACCUUUUGCAGAGGGAUAGCCCAGAGAAAUUUGGAUUAAUACCUCAUAGUAUAGUACUUUGGCAUCAAGGAACUAUUAAAGUCACAACGGCAAAAGAUGAGCAUGCGUCCCAUUAGCUAGUUGGUAAGGUAACGGCUUACCAAGGCUACGAUGGGUAGGGGUCCUGAGAGGGAGAUCCCCCACACUGGUACUGAGACACGGACCAGACUCCUACGGGAGGCAGCAGUGAGGAAUAUUGGACAAUGGGCGCAAGCCUGAUCCAGCCAUGCCGCGUGCAGGAUGACGGUCCUAUGGAUUGUAAACUGCUUUUGUACAGGAAGAAACACUACUUCGUGAAGUAGCUUGACGGUACUGUAAGAAUAAGGAUCGGCUAACUCCGUG
Molecule: ribosomal RNA, 491 nt
Filed under: uncultured bacterium
Lineage: Bacteria
Description: bacterial SSU rRNA
Rfam family: Bacterial small subunit ribosomal RNA
Source: RNAcentral